GAAAACUUUCUCCGCUCCAAGUUAAAACAACACGCUCCAAUACCGCAGGAAGUAAAACAAGUUCUCAACUUUCUGUUCUCAAUUCUCAAGGAUGGACUGGGCCCAAGUUGUGAAAGCAGCCAUCAAAUUAAAGAAGCCAAGUGCCCUAGUGACAAAAGGGCAUAAGAGAGAUUGAUGGAAUGACGAAGAUCCUGGCAUUGUCCUACUGAACUCAGCUUUUUGGAAACUAGCAUUAAGCACUCUGAGUCUUCUGAAGACAUCGUAAACAAAAUGCUGUCAC
This is a long non-coding RNA of Molossus molossus (Pallas's mastiff bat), 280 nucleotides long. RefSeq lists it as uncharacterized. NCBI's taxonomy places the organism in Eukaryota, Metazoa, Chordata, Mammalia, Chiroptera, Molossidae. The transcript has 3 exons. The record is from RefSeq and is a predicted model, not a curated record.